UUCGGAUUGUAGUCUGCAACUCGACUACAUGAAGCUGGAAUCGCUAGUAAUCGCGGAUCAGAAUGCCGCGGUGAAUACGUUCCCGGGUCCUUGUACACACCGCCCGUCACACCAUGAGAGUUGGGAAUACCCGAAGCCUGUGAGCUAACUAUACGAGGCAGCAGUCGAAGGUAGAAUCAAUGAUUGGGGUGAAGUCGUAACAAGGUACC
Molecule: ribosomal RNA, 209 nt
Filed under: uncultured bacterium
Lineage: Bacteria
Description: partial 16S ribosomal RNA
Rfam family: Bacterial small subunit ribosomal RNA
Source: RNAcentral